Myotis brandtii (Brandt's bat) is the source of this 75-nucleotide non-coding RNA. Lineage: Eukaryota; Metazoa; Chordata; Mammalia; Chiroptera; Vespertilionidae. The record is from Rfam.
GGAGGUUCUUGGGUGAUGCACCCCAGAAUUGGGCUCCCUUCUCUCUGGUUUCAGGUACGUCACCCAAGAACCACA